GGGGAAUUUUCCGCAAUGGGCGAAAGCCUGACGGAGCAAGACCGCGUGAGGGAGGAAGGCUCUUGGGUUGUAAACCUCUUUUCUCAGGGAAGAAAAAAAUGACGGUACCUGAGGAAUAAGCAUCGGCUAACUCCGUGCCAGCAGCCGCGGUAAUACGGAGGAUGCAAGCGUUAUCCGGAAUUAUUGGGCGUAAAGCGUCCGCAGGUGGCACAUCAAGUCUGCUGUCAAAGACCGGGGCUUAACCCUGGAAAGGCAGUGGAAACUGAAGUGCUAGAGUGCAGGAGGGGUAGAGGGAAUUCCCGGUGUAGCGGUGAAAUGCGUAGAUAUCGGGAAGAACAUCGGUGGCGAAGGCGCUCUACUGGACUGCAACUGACACUCACAGGACGAAAGCUAGGGGAGCGAAAGGGAUUAGAUACCCCU
RNAcentral lists this ribosomal RNA (420 nucleotides) under uncultured Schizothrix sp. RNAcentral's name for it is "bacterial SSU rRNA". It matches the Rfam family "Bacterial small subunit ribosomal RNA", at positions 356 to 789 of the family's 1533-position model. Lineage: Bacteria; Bacillati; Cyanobacteriota; Cyanophyceae; Leptolyngbyales; Schizotrichaceae. The record is from RNAcentral.